RNAcentral lists this ribosomal RNA (483 nucleotides) under uncultured bacterium. RNAcentral's name for it is "partial 16S ribosomal RNA". It matches the Rfam family "Bacterial small subunit ribosomal RNA", at positions 28 to 523 of the family's 1533-position model. The record is from RNAcentral.
GAUGAACGCUGGCGCCGUGCUUAACACAUGCAAGUCGAACGAUGAAGCCCAGCUUGCUGGGUGGAUUAGUGGCGAACGGGUGAGUAACACGUGAGUAACCUGCCCUUAACUCUGGGAUAAGCCUGGGAAACUGGGUCUAAUACCGGAUAGGAGCGUCCACCGCAUGGUGGGUGUUGGAAAGAUGUAUCGGUUUUGGAUGGACUCGCGGCCUAUCAGCUUGUUGGUGAGGUAAUGGCUCACCAAGGCGACGACGGGUAGCCGGCCUCGAGAGGGUGACCGGCCACACUGGGACUGAGACACGGCCCAGACUCCUACGGGAGGCAGCAGUGGGGAAUAUUGCACAAUGGGCGAAAGCCUGAUGCAGCGACGCCGCGUGAGGGAUGACGGCCUUCGGGUUGUAAACCUCUUUCAGUAGGGAAGAAGCGAAAGUGACGGUACCUGCAGAAGAAGCACCGGCUAACUACGUGCCAGCCGCCGCCGUAA